UAAAAUAGGAGGUAUAUAUCUUCUAAAGCUAAAUACCGGCUAGAGACCGAUAGCGCAUAAGUAGAGUGAUCGAAAGAUAAAAAGCACUUUAAAAAGAGGGUUAAAUAGUAUAUAAAAUUAUUAAAAGGGAAGCGCUUGCGACUAGACUCGGCCGCGGCGGAUUACCUAGAGUUUCCUCUAGCGCACUUUCCGCCGCAGCCAGGCCAGCGUCGGCUCGCUACGGGGGACAAAGGCGCUAGGAACGUAGCUCCCCUAGGAGUGUUAUAGCCCGGCGCGUAAUGCCCCGCGGCGGGCCGAGGUCCGCGCGUC
Molecule: ribosomal RNA, 309 nt
Filed under: Ophiocordyceps kniphofioides
Lineage: Eukaryota; Fungi; Ascomycota; Sordariomycetes; Hypocreales; Ophiocordycipitaceae
Description: LSU rRNA
Rfam family: Eukaryotic large subunit ribosomal RNA
Source: RNAcentral